GGGCCGGUGGUCUAGUGGUUAGGACACCGCGUUCACAUCGCGGUAAUCGCCGGUUCAAAUCCGGCCCGGCCCA
RNAcentral lists this transfer RNA (73 nucleotides) under Candidatus Bathyarchaeota archaeon. RNAcentral's name for it is "tRNA-Val". It matches the Rfam family "tRNA". From Rfam's summary of the family: Transfer RNA (tRNA) molecules are approximately 80 nucleotides in length. Their secondary structure includes four short double-helical elements and three loops (D, anti-codon, and T loops). Further hydrogen bonds mediate the characteristic L-shaped molecular structure. tRNAs have two regions of fundamental functional importance: the anti-codon, which is responsible for specific mRNA codon recognition, and the 3' end, to which the tRNAs corresponding amino acid is attached (by aminoacyl-tRNA synthetases). tRNAs cope with the degeneracy of the genetic code in two manners: having more than one tRNA (with a specific anti-codon) for a particular amino acid; and 'wobble' base-pairing, i.e. permitting non-standard base-pairing at the 3rd anti-codon position. The record is from RNAcentral. Lineage: Archaea; Thermoproteati; Candidatus Bathyarchaeota.